AAUACGAGCGCGAAAGGCUUGCUGGGAUUGGCUUGCUUAGAGAUUCCAGCAAGUCUUUCGCGCUCGUAUU
This is a non-coding RNA of Paramuricea clavata, 70 nucleotides long. Lineage: Eukaryota; Metazoa; Cnidaria; Anthozoa; Malacalcyonacea; Plexauridae. The record is from the annotation of a GenBank genome assembly.